RNAcentral lists this unclassified non-coding RNA (265 nucleotides) under uncultured Pyronemataceae. Its description in RNAcentral is "sequence contains ITS2". The record is from RNAcentral. Lineage: Eukaryota; Fungi; Ascomycota; Pezizomycetes; Pezizales; Pyronemataceae.
ACAACCAUUUCGAAUCCUCCUUUUCGGUUCUCGAGAGGAUUGGGGGGAAUCGGUAUUGGUGGUGGAGGAAUGAGUUGCUGAGCUCCCCCGCUAUGCUUGGCAAAUCUCCUCCCCACUGAAAUUUAUAGGCGGUCUGUAUUCUGACCCACGUGUUUAAUUGCGCUUCAAAGGACGCUCCUUCUUCAUUGAGGGGCCGCUUUUCGCUUGUAACCGUUUGGGUCCGCGUGACCGGCCAUUUCCGUAUCUUAUAUAUACAUUUUGCAAA